CAACAAAUAACUGAGCUCAGUAUUGCAACUUUACUUUGGUUAUCUAGCUGUAUGAGUAAGUUACUGGCUUCAUAAAGCUAGGUUACCAAAGCUAAGCACAAUACAUCUAUCCU
This 113-nucleotide microRNA precursor is filed under the name Onchocerca volvulus. RNAcentral's name for it is "pre miRNA OVOC13370". The stretch from base 24 to 101 matches the Rfam family "mir-9/mir-79 microRNA precursor family". From Rfam's summary of the family: The mature ~21nt miRNAs are processed from hairpin precursor sequences represented here. miR-9 is processed from the 5' arm of its precursor, and miR-79 from the 3' arm. Lineage: Eukaryota; Metazoa; Nematoda; Chromadorea; Rhabditida; Onchocercidae. The record is from RNAcentral.